This 468-nucleotide ribosomal RNA is filed under the name uncultured bacterium. Its description in RNAcentral is "partial 16S ribosomal RNA". It matches the Rfam family "Bacterial small subunit ribosomal RNA", at positions 28 to 507 of the family's 1533-position model. The record is from RNAcentral.
GACGAACGCUGGCGGCGUGCUUAACACAUGCAAGUCGAACGGAAAGGCCCUGCUUUUGUGGGGUGCUCGAGUGGCGAACGGGUGAGUAACACGUGAGUAACCUGCCCUUGACUUUGGGAUAACUUCAGGAAACUGGGGCUAAUACCGGAUAGGAGCUCCUGCUGCAUGGUGGGGGUUGGAAAGUUUCGGCGGUUGGGGAUGGACUCGCGGCUUAUCAGCUUGUUGGUGGGGUAGUGGCUUACCAAGGCUUUGACGGGUAGCCGGCCUGAGAGGGUGACCGGCGACAUUGGGACUGAGAUACGGCCCAGAAUCCAACGGGAGGCAGCAGUGGGGAAUAUUGCAAAAUGGGCGGAAGCCUGAUGCAGCAACGCCGCGUGCGGGAUGACGGCCUUCGGGUUGUAAACCGCUUUCGCAUGUGACGAAGCGUGAGUGACGGUAAUGGGUAAAGAAGCACCGGCUAACUACGUG